Long non-coding RNA from Gallus gallus (chicken), 676 nucleotides. The record is from Ensembl. NCBI's taxonomy places the organism in Eukaryota, Metazoa, Chordata, Aves, Galliformes, Phasianidae.
UGUUAAACUAGCAGCCAGGGAGAACUCCAAGAGGAUCAGUCUGAAGCUUUAUACGGUUGAUUUACAGUGUCAGUGUUGAGAUACAAGCUCUUCCACAUAAUGGAAGUGUUUUCCACAGUCCGUCCUCAUUUUCAACCUGAAGCUGUGCUGUAGCACUAGGGAGAAAAAAACAACCAAUCACAUCUUCACCCCAUGUUGGAGCUCCUCUCUGCAGCCCUGCAUCUCCAGUCUUUUAAUUCAAGAUGCUAACAACUCUCUAAGUUCUGCGUUCUCAAGAAUCUAUGGACACUGUAUGAACGGGACAACACUUUAAUCACUUAUACUUUAAGGUGUUCCAUCUUCCAAUCUCAUGGACAUCGCAGCAACUACACAAACAAUACAUUUUACAGUUUCCAUUUUUGAUUCACCACAAAGCUAACAUACGUUAUUUAUUUCAUUUUUUUCUCCAAAGAUUUUUUUUUAUGCUUAGAAUACCCAUUAGAAGUGCUAAAUUUAAUGGAAGGGACUGUAUUCAUAUUUGUGAUAGAACAAUAUUAUUUAUUCUAUUUUAUUGGAUGAGUGAAAUCUUGUGAUGUUUAAAGCCACUAAAACAUGCUCCUCAUGCUUAAUCUUGCUUCUUCAAUAUUUUGUAUUUCAGAGAUUGUACUGAAAAUAGUGGCACGUUCUGGUUGUGUGU